This 73-nucleotide transfer RNA is filed under the name Sus scrofa (pig). It matches the Rfam family "tRNA". From Rfam's summary of the family: Transfer RNA (tRNA) molecules are approximately 80 nucleotides in length. Their secondary structure includes four short double-helical elements and three loops (D, anti-codon, and T loops). Further hydrogen bonds mediate the characteristic L-shaped molecular structure. tRNAs have two regions of fundamental functional importance: the anti-codon, which is responsible for specific mRNA codon recognition, and the 3' end, to which the tRNAs corresponding amino acid is attached (by aminoacyl-tRNA synthetases). tRNAs cope with the degeneracy of the genetic code in two manners: having more than one tRNA (with a specific anti-codon) for a particular amino acid; and 'wobble' base-pairing, i.e. permitting non-standard base-pairing at the 3rd anti-codon position. Lineage: Eukaryota; Metazoa; Chordata; Mammalia; Artiodactyla; Suidae. The record is from Rfam by way of RNAcentral.
UCCCUGGUGGCCUAGUAGGUAAGGAACUGGCAUUGUCACUGCUGGGGUACAGGUUCAAUCCCUGGCCUGGGAA